AGUCAAGCCCAGAUCGCGUGUCGUCAAGUUUAAUUUGAAUAGAAUAAAAUCGUAAUGGUGGACGGCGUUCGGUGUAUCGGGCGAUAUGUUAUGCUAAAAAUGAUGUGAUUAGUGGAUCGGUGGUGAUCUUCUAGUGUAUAAUUGUAAAUAGUAACCUGUCAAGGAAUCGUAUUCGUUACACACUGGAUACUGCCGUUGACGAUCCUCUCUUAUGAAAUAUUAUGAGAGAAUAACACCACCGCGCUUUUCAUUAACCACUAGACAAGAGAAAGAAUUGGAGUGGUUAGAUAAUGGAUCAUCAAACAGGACGAAAGCAAAUAGCCUCGCCUGAAAUUGCGCUAGCUAACGAGGUUUUUGAUCAAUUCUGCAAUGCCUCUACUCUCAAGUCAAUUCUUGGUCACUUUCGUCAUUUAUGCGACCUACUCAAGCUCAAGCCCAACAACAUCAAUCAAUUUUAUCCAAAGUUGAAAUCAAAGUUAAGAUCUUGGAAGGCGCAGGCUUUGUGGAAAAAAUUUGAUCAACGUGCCAACCACAAAUGUUACAACAGGGGCAAAGCAUGUCCAAAUACAAGGGUUUUGAUCAUCGGUGGCGGUCCUUGCGGCCUGAGAACAGCGAUAGAGGCGCAAUUGUUAGGAGCGAAGGUUGUGGUUGUUGAAAAACGAGAUCGUGUAACUAGGAAUAAUGUGCUCCAUCUCUGGCCCUUCGUUAUUCAAGAUCUUCGCGGUCUAGGUGCGAAGAAAUUUUUUGGAAAAUUUUGCGCCGGAGCUAUAGAUCACAUUAGUAUUAGACAGCUGCAGUGUAUUCUGCUCAAAGUUGCCUUGGUACUCGGAGUUGAAUUCCAUGAAAAUGUCAGCUUCGAAGCUUUGGUACCACCCCCUGAAAACCAGGAGGACGGUAAAAUUGGUUGGAGAGCGCAAAUUACACCGGUAGAGCAUCCCGUUUCUCAAUAUGAGUUUGAUGUGCUCAUUGGUGCCGAUGGUAAACGAAAUACUUUAGAAGGUUUCAAGCGAAAGGAAUUUAGAGGAAAAUUAGCCAUUGCGAUUACCGCUAAUUUCAUAAAUAAGAAGACUGAAGCAGAAGCUCGAGUAGAGGAGAUUAGUGGUGUUGCUUUUAUUUUCAAUCAAAAAUUCUUUAAGGAAUUGUAUCAAGUAACGGGUAUUGAUUUGGAAAAUAUUGUCUACUACAAAGAUGACACCCAUUACUUCGUCAUGACUGCCAAAAAACAUAGCCUUAUUGAUAAGGGUGUUAUUCUUCAGGAUCAUGCUGACACAGCUAAGCUUCUAGCGAUGGAAAACGUUAACCGAGAAGCAUUGAUGCAGUACGCGAGCGAGGCUGCAGAGUUUUCCACGGAGUAUCAGAUGACUAACAUGGAAUUUGCAGUCAAUCAUUACGGGCAGCCGGAUGUCGCGAUGUUUGAUUUUACGUCAAUGUAUGCUGCGGAAAAUGCUAGCAGAGUUUUAGAGCAAAAAGGACAUCGUUUGUUGACGAUUUUGGUUGGAGACAGUUUAUUAGAACCAUUUUGGCCAACAGGAUCUGGGUGCGCUCGAGGAUUUCUCAGCUCUUUAGACGCCUGUUGGGCUAUCAAAGGAUGGAGCACCUUGACUCCUCUGGAAGUUUUAGCUGAACGAGAAUCAAUUUAUAGACUCCUUGGGCAAACGACACCUGAGAACCUUAAUCGAGACUAUGCUGCUUACACGUUAGACCCACACACCAGAUACCCAAAUCUGAACACCCGUUUAGUUACACCCAUUCAAGUUCGAGGCCUUUUGGAUACUGAUGAUCCUGAUAAUAUUGAGCAACCUUCUAUGCAGCCUGCCGUAGACAUCCCUAAAAAGCGGCGCCGCAGGGAUAUUGGAACAGACUCUCAGGUCCACCCAGACGUUCUUCUGCAUUGGUUGCGAAAACAAGUGGCUCUCUAUGAUACGGUCCAUAUAGCUGAUAUGGGAAAUUCAUUCAAAGAUGGUCUAGCUAUCUGCGCUAUCAUUCACAGAUACAGGCCGGAUCUUAUUGAUUUUCACUCUCUGAAACCAGAAGACAUUGAAAAAAAUAAUCAACUUGCAUUCGACACACUGGAAAAGGAGUUAGGUAUCACACCGGUAUUUACUGGCGAUGAAAUGACAUCUUGCGAUGUGCCUGAUAAACUGGCUAUGUUCUCAUAUCUUACUCAGAUAUACGAAACGUUCAGAGGUGAAAUUCCACACAUUAAACAUCCCAAACUGGAACUUGAAAACGAAGAUCGCCCAGCAUUCACGAAACAGUUGAGCCAAUUGACUCCCGAACAAAAAGCACAAUUACUGGGUCGGAUUACUAAACAAGAUUCCACUGUUCGCGCUAGACACUCUCGUUCUAGGCAUGGAACGGAACAUGCUCAGCCAGCAGGGGAUAAAAAAGUUGAUUCAAUGAGCCGGCGAUCCAGAAAACGGCGUAGUACAGACAAAAUGGGCGCUACAGUGGAAGAAAGGCAGAAGAGACUGGAAGAUAUAGAAAAAAAUCGAACUGAGCGAAUGAUGAAGCGUCAGUUUUUACGAAAAAUGGCUACCCAGCAAUUCUACAAAAGUAUGCAGAUGCUGCAGGCGAAUGCAAAACGAGACAAAGACGAACCUUUUGAAGAUUACUCAAUAUUUCUCUAUCGACAAACUGCCCCCGAUUUUAAAGAUCGGGUGAAAGAAUUAGAACAGAAAAUACUCUAUCCAGAUAGGGAUCCAAGGGGUACUAGUAGCCAGCAAAGAGGCGGUGCUGAUGAGGAAUUUUCCGGCAGAAUAAAAAAUAUCGAAGAUAAAUUAAGAGGUACAGCACCUACUGAAAAAAAGCCUAGAGAUCUUCUACGUGCUAUCGGUAAGAUAGAGAGAAGCGAUUGGAACGUUAAAGAAAUAGAAAAGAAGAUUGAAGAAAACAAAAUGGGGCGCGGAGCUCGUCAACAGAAAGUAGAAAGAGUGCCUAAAUGGAGUCGAGAGCAGUUUUUAGCUCGUCAGAUAAAGAUGGAGAAGAAGGGGCGAGAUCCAAAUGAUUCAGAUAGCAAGUAUGCUGAUAUUGACAAUACCCUCAAAUGUAUUGACAAGAAGAUUAAGGAGGGUAACGUUCUUGGUCAUAAUAAAGUCUCUGCUAUGGCGGAACAAUUUUCGAAUAAGAACCAAGAAGCUGAAUCAAAAGUCCAGAGAUCGAAUUCUAAGGCAGCACUCGUUUUGCCUGCGAAGGGGGGCUCGGAGAUGUGUCAUUUUUGUAACAAGCGGGUUUAUUUAAUGGAAAGGCUUAGCGCUGAGGGCAAAUUUUUUCAUCGAGGUUGUUUCCGUUGCGAAUAUUGCUCUACCUCUCUCAGAAUUGGAAGCCACAUGUUUGACAGAGAUAAAAAUGGAGGGCGGUUCUACUGUACACAGCACUUUGGAUUAUCAGGCACUCUUAAAGCCAGGACGGAGAAGAAGAAGAUAUCUCUUAUCAACAAAGAGAACAUGCCUAAUCUGACAGCAGCUUUAAAGACUCCAGAAAAACCCAAAACACCUUUGGAGGGAGUUGUAGGACUGGACUUGUUGGACCGAGGCCAAACGCCAGAGAGAAUUGAAUUUGAAAAUUUGGCUGGAUUGUCAGAUGCAGAGGAAGCUCGUAGUCAAAUGGAUGAAGAUGAAUGGACGGAUCGCAAUUUCGGUGCAUCCACUGCAGAAAUGGGAUCCAGUGAUGAGAUAUUUGGCAUGAGUGAUUCCGACGAUGACAAUGAGGUUUUCGAAGAGGCGUUAGACCAACCGCUCACUACGGAAGGAACCUUAGAACUUGCGAAAAAUUGGACUCUGCGCUACUCCCAUCCACAUGCCUCUGGACAUCACUCAGACUCUGGAAGCAACGAGUAUGAAGACUCAAGUGAUGAAUAUACAACAGAAGAGGAUGAAAGUGGUACGGCAACCGAAGAUGAAGAUGAGGUUCGUGCACGGGAAUUGAGAAAGCAAGAAGUUUGGCUGGAAGUACCACCAGGAGGUUCAGACACUGAUACCGGUUCAGAUACAGAGGUUGCUUCGGACGACGACUCUGCCGAAGAUAGCGAUGACAAUUCUGCCACGGAAAUAUCAACAGACUCGGAAUUCGAACACGAUGGCACAACACCCACUCAACACGAAAUUCCAGAAAUCACAAUAAAUGACUCCCACGUUCGAAAAAGCAGAGGCAACUAUAUCGAACCCAGAAGAGUGCAAGUAAAGAGUCACGUUAUAUCACCGGUGAAUGGAAAUUUGAAGGAAAACAAAACUUCAGGUGUAAAAUUGGAAUUCUCCAAACUUAAGGCUAGUGAAGAAUCUGCUACUUCACCCAGUCCAACAAAUUUGUACUCUGCGCAAGCUAGUCCAAAAGUAGCAUCACCGAGUCCGCUCGUUAAUCCCCGCAAAGGUGAUUACCUGCUUAAUCGGACUCAUUCCACAGAAGGUAUAGCCUCGAAGCUAUCCUUGGAACUUAAGAAACGGUACUUACUCGGUAGUUCAGCAUUUACUGGGUCUGUCAUGAAGUCUGGAUCCACAUCAAAUGUUGAUACGAAAUUGAGAAGCAUCACGGAUGUCAUUUCUCAGCACCAAAAACUCCUGAAUCCUGCUCCAGAACCAAGCCCAACUAUGCAAGCAUUUCUUCAAGGCACCAAUAAACUCCAUACCACCAACGUUCAACUCUCUCCUCUGUCACCAACAGCUUUAUUUUCGAAUUCACCUUUGAAAGGAGCUUCAAUCGGUCAGUCGCAGAAAAUACUCUCCGACAUGAGGUUGAAGAAAUUGGCUGAUCUUUCAGAUACGUCAAAAAUACCAUUGCCCGACUUAUUGAAAGAAACGAGUAUUAUGAAGUCUAGAACAGAUCCAAACAUCGUUCAUAAAGAUUCGCAAAAAAUUAUAGACAGGAAAUUGAUAGAGCAAAUAGUUCCUGAAAGUGAUGGAAAAUCCACAGCAAUAGUAUCAGAGGAAGCAAAAACCAAUGAGGUAGCCACCGAUGAAAAUAUCGACUGCAGGCCCAGGAGUCCAUUGCAUGAAACCUCUAUCAUUGUUCCAGAAGUUGAUUGGCAUAAAUCUACUAAGGAAGUAUGUAAGGAAACGGAAACAUCGGAGGAUUCAGAAAUGGAUAGCGAUUCUUUAUCGUCUAGUGAAACAGAAUUAGAAGGAAUAGUUGAGAAAGGUGAGCCUUUAGCUGCCAAUUUAUCGCCCCCGAGGUUACAAAUUCAUAGCACCAGUGGAGAAUUGUUAUUAGAUGAAGAAACUGGCAGAGACAAUGAGGCUGAGGUCGGUGUCACCUUUGAACCAGACUCAAUUGAAUGCAUAAGAGUGCAAGAUGCGCGUGUUUUACCUUUGGAAAUGAGUGAAGCGUCUGAAAAUCGUUCAUUUGGCAAUGUACAAACUGUGCUAACUGAAACCGAAAACAUGAAUAAUAAAUUGAAUCAGUUGGAACCGAAAGAUGAGGGGAGGAAAACUCCAAGCAAUUGCAGCAGCCCAACGUCUGCUGGCUCUGGAACUUCGAUUAAACAAGAUGAUUCAGAAGAAAAUGACAUCACUACAGCUGCUCUCACGGAAACUGAAUUCUCAGAAUGGGCCAGAGACGGGGAAGGUUUAGUUUCUGAGGAUUUGCGUGACGUCGAGUUUAACAUCAAUCCAGAGUUUAUAACUAAAAGAAGAAACAAGCUUUACAAACACGCUAAUCUUUCUAAUGACAAUAUUCCUGUUAGAAUAGCCAAAGAAGAAGAUUCCACAGACUUAGAUUUUGAUUACAAUAGAAUAAACAGAGGAAUUGAACUCCCAGUUAAUCACACCUCAAAGCUGCUUGCUAAUGGUGAGAAUAUUGAUUUCAUGGAUACCGAUAAUGAGUCUCUCCUGGACGACAGUCUUCAAGAUACUACAAAUACCGCAUUAUUAAAAAAUAGAGGAUACGUUGAAUUUGUCAACGUCAAAGCGUUGCCGCCCAUGAAAGUUCCAAUUGAUAGCAAGUCUGAGGCUCCUAUUGCGGAAACGGAGUUUGACCAUGAAUCGUUUUCUGAGAAUGAACAGUACAAAGACGAAAAUGUCAUUGAGAUAAAUCCUAUAACGAUGGAUGACAUCAAAGAUAGAUUGAAUAGUGCCAUCAAUAAAAAUGUCAAAUUCGUGAACUAUGAAAACUCUAUUACUGGAAUAAGUGAAAGUGAAGUAUCUGGAGAAGCUGCUAAAAAGGAAGUUUGUCAAUCAAUGGAUGAGGAUAGUCUUUUAGUUGUGGAACCUGCUGAAGAUACCACAACUAGUGAGAUCAUAACUGUUCUUGCGAGUCCCAUAAAUCCACAACCUUUGGCAGUUCCAAAUCAGCCUGAAUUGGUCAGCAAUGAAGUUACAAAGCUCAUCUCUUCGCAAGAUGGGAGCAAUCCCGAUUAUUUAGAGUAUGUUAAACGUCUGCAGUCCAGAAUCGCAGAGUUUAGUAAUGCAAAGGAUUCGAUAGAUGUAAGGAAAGCAAAAAGAAAGAGUUCCAAGGGUUCCGCACAGUUACGUUCACAAGAAAUGAUAGCAGAGGAAGUCAAAAGUCAAGAACUUCAAGCUAAUAAUAGUUUAAAUUCUCCGGCAACAUCUAGAAAACUAGAAGAGAUCACAAGAGAACGAUCUAAACAAAAAAAUCUGAUCCAAGAUAUAUUAAUGGACAAAUUACAGGCUCAUAAAUUGAAGUCAGCUGAGAAAAAAGCCAAGAGAGCUGCUAGAACAUCUUCUUUCAGUCCUGGUACUGCAAUUUCUCCGGUCAAACCGUUUCAAACUCCCGGAUCAUCGCCAGCGCCACUGAAGUUUGUUCCAACGUCUAUAAUUACACCAACAAAUAGCCCAGUGCACACCACUUUUGCCGAAGCACAAAAAACACUCGACAUGGAAACACCGGCAAUUAGCAUUGUGCAAACCAGCAGAGCCGAACAACCAAACAUCAGACCACCGGAAGAAGCGAUGUUGAAGGUUGGUUCAGAGAAAUCGGCUGGGUCAAUCAGUUCUGAUUUAAUCCUUGCUGAGAUUAAUGCAUCAAAAGGUUACGCUGAUGAAUUUAGAACUCCCAAAGCUCCGCCGAGAACCAAACAUGAGGAAGCUAGGAGAACAGCAGAGAAAGCAAAGCAAGAUGCAAGAGCACGUGCAAGGCUCAAAAGUGACGAGGACUUGGGAUUAAGCCCAGAAGACAGGAUAAAAGAACUGAGAUUGAAAGUAGCAAGAACACAGCUUUCUAUGGAAGAAAGAAGGAAAGCUAGCGAGAAAAUAACACCGGAAAUAAGACCCCGGCAUUAUAGUUUCAGCUCUGCGAGACCUGGACAUAAAUUGCAAACUAGUAAAAGUACAGACAAUGUAAAAGCCUGUGCAAAGAAAGUCAACAUUGAAUCUAAAUUGCCUGGAAAUGCUAAGUCUAUGGAUGAAUUAGUGCAGUCCUCGGAGAUCGUGAACGAAGAAAGUCAUGUUUCUGUGAAUAAAAGAGAAAAGAAAAAAUCAAAGGAUCCGGAGAGAAGGAAGAGUAUUAUUCAAGCCGUUUCUGACUUUUUCAAGAAAAAAGAUUCCUCCCCAUCGCCACCAAACCAGAAGGAAAAGUUCUCAAGGUUCAGACUGACGCCCAAGUCCAAGGAAAAGGGAAAGUUGUAUAAGUCAUAUUCGGAUGGGUCAGAUCUCGAUAAGGAACCUUCUCAGAAAUUUGAGCACAGACCCAAGAGUGUUUGCGAAGGAAUGUUGGUUGGAAGUUUCUUAGAUGACGAUCCACCACCCGUUCCACCUCCACCAAUUGAUUAUGCUCUCAGCGCUUCCCAACUCUCAGAUGAUACUUUAUCCGAAGAAGAUUCCAAGGCAGCACCUAUGUCAGCUACGCAAGCACAUAGAGCGUCAUUGGCAGACGAUUCGUGUAACAGCAUGCAACGGAAAGAGAAAUCGGCCAGAAGGCUAGCUAGGCAGACCCAACUGAAGAGAUUACGAAUGGCUCAGGAGAUACAGAGAAAAUUGGAAGAAACCGAAGUCAAACAAAGAGAAUUAGAGAGCAGAGGCGUCAGUGUGGAAAAAGCCCUCCGUGGUGAAGGAGAAUGUUCAAACCGUGAAGAGGCCGAUUUGCUCAGCGAAUGGUUCGACUUGAUGAGAGAACGAACAGAAUUGCGAAGAUAUGAAAAAGAAUUAUUGGUACGGGCUCAGGAAGUUCAACUAGAAGAUCGACAUGAACGUUUACAGCAAGAACUGCGCGAACGCUUAGCUGACGACGAUGAGAAAAAGACCAGCGCCGAUGUGAAAAAGGAGGGUGAAAUCCUUACGGAAAUGUUGGAGAUUGUAGCAAAGAGAGACUCGUUGAUUGCGCUACUAGAAGAGGAGCGACAAAGGUGGCGUAGACCCUCGUGCCCAACACUCACUGCACCUGCCACAGCCACUGUCACUCCUAAUGGCACGACUAACAAUCCUUCGAUAAAUCCAACAACCCCAAUAUCGUAUACCUUCAUCCUACUGGCUAUUUUUAUUGCCUAUAUGCUUUCGUUACAUGUAGUAGAAUUUUGCAUCGGAUUCCAUAAAGAAUCCUUAGUAUUUUUUACCUGAAUGUAUUGUGAACUACAUUCCAAAAUUUGAAUCACAAAAAAUGUGUAUGCUAGUUACGAGUGUAGUAAACUUUACUCGUAGUGUAGCUAACUUAGACUGUUUGAAAGACAGCAUGAACAUGAUUUGCUUGAAAAAUUUGUAAUGCUUUCAUUUGAGUAGUCUGCAUGAGUAUUAUCGUAGCUCUUAGUAUAAAACUCAUUUGAAUAAUGUGACAAUUUUGCUAUGCGACCAGAUUUGUAAGUAGUUUUAUUCAAAAGUUAAAUCCAAGCUUGAGACGAUGCGGAACUAAUACAUCGCGUGUGCCUUUGUCCUACAGCUCCUGACAACGUUGUAUGAGCCAGUAUAGUAUGUAUAUACUAAUGACAAAUAUUGGAUACAAAACUUUUUUCGUAUGUGAUGCGGUUGUUACAAAUGGAAACUAAAUACCUGGAGUUUUAAAGCUAUGCUAAUCUAAUCGAAUACUUUCAUUAAUUCCUAAUCAUGUACAAUGGAUCGUGACAGGCCCAUUAUUAGAACAGUUAAUAAUGCUUGGAAAAUUUUAUUUUAUUAAUUCAUGUAGAUCAAAUCUCUCAUGAAUGUGAUACCUUUAUUUUUUAUCAUCAGCACUCGAAAGUUUAUCAUGGAAUUUAUUUAUAUAGACUAGAAAAAACACUGUUGAUUAUUUUUAUUUUUAAUUUCAUGUUACUCGUAACUUAUUUCGUCCGAGAAAUGCGUUUGAAUUCAUUUUCAAACAUCGAUUCGCUGCCAGACAGGUGCACUAAGAAGAUUAUAAUGGUGUGCGUUAACCCACAACUAUUGAUAUAUAAAAUUUUCAUGUUACUGCGAAACUAACUUGAGGUAGAAAUUAUAAAAAUUAUCAAAAAAUUUUCGCAAAUAUUCAGUGAAAACUAAUAUGCUACACAUCAUGCCUACUCGUAACUUCAUUUAAAAUGCUACAGUAGUUUAUUUCGAGCCGCAAACUGUUAAAAUUUUCGCAAAUCAUCGCCUAGACAGACCUAUGUGAUUCCCAUGAUUCUUUUUGUUCCUCGUAAUGACUUAUACAUAAUCAGAUAACAUUACUGCCUAUAAACAAAUAUUUUUCAAUAACAAAAUAAAUUCAAUUAACACAACUGACAACGAGUACAUAAUCACACUCACAUGCGAUAAAAAAGACAAUGGGCAGAGGGUAGUAAGAAUUCGGCACGUCUUGGCUUGAUAAAAGAAAAAAAAAAAAAAAUGAAAAAAAAAACCUGCACGUUGCAUUUCAGACACAGAUCUGGUACCAAGACGAAGAUCGUGACCUUGAGGCUCAAAUGUUGGCCAAGGGUCUGAGGUUGACCCCCAUAAAAAAAUCAUCGUCACCUUGAGACUACACAGGCGCACGUACUCUGCUUUGUCUUUUCAGAUGAAAGCGUUAUUCCAAACAUCAUUCUCUAAUUUUCAUAUCGCAAUUCACUACUAAUGUUGAUGCUGAAUUUAUUUGCUUGUGACCACAAAAUAUUUUAACUGACAAAACUCAAACUAUAAUCAUAGUUGAGGAAGUAUGCUACGAAUUUAUAGAAAAAGAUAUGCAAGUUUUUUAUUCCAUUUUUGGAAAGAAAAAAAAAAGGAAGAACAGUGAAACGAAAUCGUGAUAUGUAUAAUGCUAGAAAUUAAUAAGGCUUUGAAGAUCUAUUUUUUACGUUUUGAAUAGACCGGAGUGAUAGUUUAAAUUGAAAAAGGAAGAAAAAAGAAGGAAUGUUAACCGACCGUUAAUAUUAAAUGUAAAUAGGUCACAAUUUAUAGUCGAAUUAUCCUAUUCGAUAAUUAAAUAGCUCGGUUUAUUUCCUUUUGAGAGAAAUAAUGCAGCGUAUUUUAGAUCAAUUGAUUGAUUUGAAUCAAUAAACUACAAAACGACGAUCUAAUUUGUAGCACCAGCCAUGAGUCAACGACUUCAAGACUCAUUGCUUACAAGAUAUGUAAUUCAAAGUAAAAAAUGGUCCCGUUUUGAAUAAUCUAAUACCAGUCGACAGGAUUAAGCCAUCCAAAUUAAGUUAACCAGUAUGAGUUAUUCGACCGUAUGAAGUUAUAGCUCAUAUACCUGAAUCAUAAAACAUUAUACUUAUGUCCAAUAAAUGUGUAUUAAUAUGAUACCAGGUACGAUAGCAUAUGUGACGCUCAAUGAAACAGAAGAAGAGAGACCCAAAACGCAGGAGAACCUAAAUUUGUACAAGAUUUGUCUACUGGUGAAUCAAUGUUGAUGAAUUUAAUUAUAAUUUGUGAUAGUAACACCUCAGAGAAAUGGUAUAUUUUGUAUGUCUAAAUGAAAUGUGUGCCUCGUAUGUGGAAUUAAUAUGACGAAAAAAAACUGUGAAACUUGAGCUUGCUUUUUACCUGGCAUUAUGCUGCGUGACGUAAUUUUUAUGACAACUUGUUUUUCCCGUAUGCUUCUUCGAGUGGACUAACAAUGGCCAGAGAAAGUUUCGCCGUUUGGAGUAAUUCUAUACAAUAUGAUAUGAUUUGUAACUAGUCCUAUUUGAAACGAGCCCGAUUCAUAUUAUGUGUAAAUUUCUGCUACACCCUGCCUUGUAUCCUCUGCGCAACGUUGAUAAUUUGUAUUAUUGAUAGUAUUAACGUAUUGUAUGAGCAUGUAUAUAUUUUCAGUACGAUAAAUGAAUAAUAUGUAUAUUCUUUUAUUCUUAAUUUAACACUGCAUUAUUUAAGUUGCGUAUUUCUGUACUAGAUUAUAAUAAAUGCUUUUAUAUUAUUAAA
This is an RNA transcript of Athalia rosae (coleseed sawfly), 11234 nucleotides long. It is a transcript of the gene named F-actin-monooxygenase Mical, with no coding region annotated. The record is from RefSeq and is a predicted model, not a curated record. Lineage: Eukaryota; Metazoa; Arthropoda; Insecta; Hymenoptera; Athaliidae. The transcript is spliced from 27 exons.